AACGAACGCUGGCGGCAGGCUUAACACAUGCAAGUCGAACGCCCCGCAAGGGGAGUGGCAGACGGGUGAGUAACGCGUGGGAAUCUACCCAGAUCUUCGGAACAACCCAGGGAAACUUGGGCUAAUACCGGAUACGCCCUACGGGGGAAAGAUUUAUCGGUUCUGGAUGAGCCCGCGUUGGAUUAGCUAGUUGGUGAGGUAAUGGCUCACCAAGGCUACGAUCCAUAGCUGGUCUGAGAGGAUGAUCAGCCACACUGGGACUGAGACACGGCCCAGACUCCUACGGGAGGCAGCAGUGGGGAAUAUUGGACAAUGGGCGAAAGCCUGAUCCAGCCAUGCCGCGUGAGUGAUGAAGGCCUUAGGGUUGUAAAGCUCUUUUAGUGGGGAAGAUAAUGACGGUACCCACAGAAAAAGCCCCGGCUAACUUCGUGCCAGCAGCCGCGGUAA
Molecule: ribosomal RNA, 447 nt
Filed under: uncultured bacterium
Lineage: Bacteria
Description: partial 16S ribosomal RNA
Rfam family: Bacterial small subunit ribosomal RNA
Source: RNAcentral